UCAAGUGUCUUAAGGGCAUUUGGUGGAUGCCUUGGCAUGCACAGGCGAUGAAGGACGUGAUACGCUGCGAUAAGCGUCGGGGAGGUGCGAAUACCCUUUGAUCCGACGAUUUCCGAAUGGGGCAACCCACCUUAGAUGACUAGAAAAUCUGUUUUGUUGGAGCAACGCUGGAUGGGUUUACACCCAUACAGACCGCUAGGUCGUCGGCCCAUGUGGGCCGCCCCCGCGGAGCGCCAGCAUUCCUCUGGAAUGCGUACGGCGCGUGAGCGAGAACAGCACAGCUUUCUAGUCAUCAUAAAUAAGGUAUCUAACCUUGAAUACAUAGGGGUUAGAAGCGAACCUGGGGAACUGAAACAUCUAAGUACCCAGAGGAAAGGACAUCAAACGAGACUCCGCUAGUAGUGGCGAGCGAACGCGGACCAGGCCAGUGGCUUUUGUGAAUAAAGUGGAACGAGUUGGAAAACUCGACCGAAGUGGGUGAUAGUCCCGUACACGUAGAAUAGCAGAAGUCCUUGAGUAGGGCGGGACACGUGAAAUCCUGUCUGAACAUGGGUCGACCACGAUCCAAGCCUAAGUACUCGUGCAUGACCGAUAGCGAACCAGUACCGUGAGGGAAAGGUGAAAAGCACCCCGACGAGGGGAGUGAAACAGUACCUGAAACCGGAUGCCUACAAACAGUUGGAGCCCAAGGUUUGUCCUGGGUGACAGCGUACCUUUUGUAUAAUGGGUCAGCGACUUAGUGUAUCGAGCAAGCUUAAGCCGGUAGGUGUAGGCGCAGCGAAAGCGAGUCUGAACAGGGCGUUCAGUUCGAUGCAUUAGACCCGAAACCAAGUGAUCUAGCCAUGAGCAGGUUGAAGGUACGGUAACACGUACUGGAGGACCGAACCCAUAUCUGUUGCAAUAGAUCGGGAUGACUUGUGGCUAGGGGUGAAAGGCCAAUCAAACUUGGAGAUAGCUGGUUCUCCGCGAAAUCUAUUUAGGUAGAGCGUCGACCGAAUACCCCCGGGGGUAGAGCACUGGAUGGGCUAUGGGGACUCACCGUCUUACUGAUCCUAACCAAACUCCGAAUACCGGGGAGUACUAGUCGGCAGACACACGGCGGGUGCUAACGUCCGUCGUGGAGAGGGCAACAACCCUGACCACCAUCUAAGGUCCCUAAGUUAUGGCUAAGUGGGAAAGGAUGUGAGGAUCCCAAAACAACCAGGAUGUUGGCUUAGAAGCAGCCAUCAUUUAAAGAAAGCGUAACAGCUCACUGGUCUAAAUAAGGGUCUUUGCGCCGAAAAUGUACCGGGGCUCAAGCCAUACACCGAAGCUGUGGAUGCACGUAUGUGCGUGGUAGCGGAGCGUUCCGUAAGCCUGUGAAGGGACAGUCGUGAGACAUCCUGGAGGUAUCGGAAGUGAGAAUGCUGACAUGAGUAACGAUAAAGGGAGUGAGAGACUCCCUCGCCGAAAGUCCAAGGGUUCCUGCUUAAAGUUAAUCUGAGCAGGGUUAGCCGGCCCCUAAGGCGAGGCCGAAAGGCGUAGUCGAUGGGAACCACGUUAAUAUUCGUGGGCCUGCAGGUGGUGACGGAUCGCGUGUGUUGUGAGGUCUUAUUGGAUUGAUCUUGCAGCGAAGCGGUUCCAGGAAAUAGCUCCUGCAUAUAGACCGUACCCUAAACCGACACUGGUGGACUGGUAGAGAAUACCAAGGCGCUUGAGAGAACUGCGUUGAAGGAACUCGGCAAAAUGCACGCGUAACUUCGGAAGAAGCGUGACCUCACUAUGGGCAACCAUAGGGGGGUGGCACAGACCAGGGGGUAGCGACUGUUUACCAAAAACACAGGGCUCUGCGAAGUCGCAAGACGACGUAUAGGGUCUGACGCCUGCCCGGUGCUGGAAGGUUAAGAGGAGAGGUGCAAGCCUUGAAUUGAAGCCCCAGUAAACGGCGGCCGUAACUAUAACGGUCCUAAGGUAGCGAAAUUCCUUGUCGGGUAAGUUCCGACCUGCACGAAUGGCGUAACGACUUCCCCGCUGUCUCCAACGCAGACUCAGUGAAAUUGAAUUCCCCGUGAAGAUGCGGGGUUCCUGCGGUUAGACGGAAAGACCCCGUGCACCUUUACUAUAGCUUUACACUGGCAUUCGUGACGACAUGUGUAGGAUAGGUGGUAGACUUUGAAGCAGGGGCGCCAGCCUUUGUGGAGUCACCCUUGAAAUACCACCCUUGUUUUUAUGGAUGUCUAACUGCGGCCCGUUAUCCGGGUCCAGGACCGUGUAUGGUGGGUAGUUUGACUGGGGCGGUCGCCUCCUAAAGAGUAACGGAGGCGCGCGAUGGUAGGCUCAGAACGGUCGGAAAUCGUUCGUCGAGUGCAAUGGCAUAAGCCUGCCUGACUGCAAGACUGACAAGUCGAGCAGAGACGAAAGUCGGUCAUAGUGAUCCGGUGGUCCCGCGUGGAAGGGCCAUCGCUCAACGGAUAAAAGGUACGCCGGGGAUAACAGGCUGAUGACCCCCAAGAGUCCAUAUCGACGGGGUUGUUUGGCACCUCGAUGUCGACUCAUCGCAUCCUGGGGCUGGAGCAGGUCCCAAGGGUAUGGCUGUUCGCCAUUUAAAGCGGUACGUGAGUUGGGUUCAGAACGUCGUGAGACAGUUCGGUCCCUAUCUGCCGUGGGUGUAGGAAUAUUGA
Molecule: ribosomal RNA, 2660 nt
Filed under: Brucella abortus bv. 1 str. NI488
Lineage: Bacteria; Pseudomonadati; Pseudomonadota; Alphaproteobacteria; Hyphomicrobiales; Brucellaceae
Also listed under: 1 other name
Description: bacterial LSU rRNA
Rfam family: Bacterial large subunit ribosomal RNA
Source: RNAcentral